CAGAAGCACUUGAUGUGCUCAACUGCUGAUAUAUACAAGAAAUACCGGAUCUUGAUGAAGAUCGUAGUACACUUCAUUCACAAUUUAAAUUCUUAGUGUAUCUAUCAUCAUGUCCAGCUGCGCCUUUUUCUUCUACAAUUUAGUUUCUCGAGAGUAUGCCAGAGGCGUAUCAUACUUUUAUAGAAGAGAGCAAAGACAAUGUACAAGAAGCCUCGAAAUGGAUGCGAACAUCCACUCUCGGCCACACCCCAUUACAACCAAAGCCGGUGUACUCUAAACACCCCAGAUUACGGAUAAUUGUUUACAGAUAUUCUCACAGAUUUGGGAUGUAACAAUGG
Molecule: non-coding RNA, 338 nt
Organism: Triticum urartu
Lineage: Eukaryota; Viridiplantae; Streptophyta; Magnoliopsida; Poales; Poaceae
Source: RefSeq, a predicted model, not a curated record